Molecule: transfer RNA, 60 nt
Organism: Streptomyces sp. CC53
Lineage: Bacteria; Bacillati; Actinomycetota; Actinomycetes; Kitasatosporales; Streptomycetaceae
Rfam family: tRNA
About the family: Transfer RNA (tRNA) molecules are approximately 80 nucleotides in length. Their secondary structure includes four short double-helical elements and three loops (D, anti-codon, and T loops). Further hydrogen bonds mediate the characteristic L-shaped molecular structure. tRNAs have two regions of fundamental functional importance: the anti-codon, which is responsible for specific mRNA codon recognition, and the 3' end, to which the tRNAs corresponding amino acid is attached (by aminoacyl-tRNA synthetases). tRNAs cope with the degeneracy of the genetic code in two manners: having more than one tRNA (with a specific anti-codon) for a particular amino acid; and 'wobble' base-pairing, i.e. permitting non-standard base-pairing at the 3rd anti-codon position.
Source: Rfam
GGUUGCGUGCUCGCCACCCUGUCAAGGUGGAGGCCGCGGGUUCAAAUCCCGUCAGGACCG